AAAUAACAAUGCAGACCUCGUACGAGGUCCUGCCAUUGGAAUGAGUACACUUUAAAAUUUUUAACGAGUAUCCAUUGGAGGGCAAGUCUGGUGCCAGCAGCCGCGGUAAUUCCAGCUCCAAAAGUGUAUAUUUAAGUUGUUGCGGUUGAAAAGCUCGUAGUUGGAUAUAGGGACGGCGAGGUUGGUCGGUCGAAAGGCUAGCACUGUCCUCGUUGUUCUUGUUGGUCGGUGCCUUCGCGGUGCUCUUAACUGAGUGUUGCGGGGGUCCGGCAAGUUUACCUUGAAAAAAUUAGAGUGUUCAAAGCAGGCUUUACGCUUGUAUAAUGUUGCAUGGAAUAAUGGAAUAGGACCUCGGUUCUAUUUUGUUGGUUUUCGGAGCACGAGGUAAUGAUUAAUAGGAACGGACGGGGGCAUACGUACUGUGCCGUUAGAGGUGAAAUUCUUGGAUCGGCGCAAGACGAACGACUGCGAAGGCAUUUGCCAAGAAUGUUUUCUUUAAUCAAGAGCGAAAGUCAGAGGUUCGAAGACGAUCAGAUACCGUCCUAGUUCUGACCUUAAACGAUGCCGACUAGCGAUCGGGCAGUGUCGAACUUAAGAACUGUCCGGCAGCUUCCGGGAAACCAAAGUCUUUGGGUUCCGGGGGAAGUAUGGUUGCAAAGCUGAAACUUAAAGGAAUUGACGGAAGGGCACCACCAGGAGUGGAGCCUGCGGCUUAAUUUGACUCAACACGGGAAAUCUCACCCGGCCCGGACACAGCGAGGAUUGACAGAUUGAGAGCUCUUUCUUGAUUCUGUGGGUGGUGGUGCAUGGCCGUUCUUAGUUGGUGGAGCGAUUUGUCUGGUUAAUUCCGAUAACGAACGAGACUCUUACUUGCUAAAUAGCUGCUCGACCCAUUGGGUCGGAGACAACUUCUUAGAGGGACUAGUGGCGUUUAGCCACACGAGAUUGAGCAAUAACAGGUCUGUGAUGCCCUUAGAUGUUCGGGGCCGCACGCGCGCUACACUGACCGGAUCAUCGUGUGUUCCCUAGGCCGAAAGGUCCGGGUAAUCCGUUGAACCCCGGUCGUGCUAGGGAUAGGGACUUGCAAUUGUUUCCCUUGAACGAGGAAUUCCCAGUAAGCGCGAGUCAUUAGCUUGCGUUGAUUACGUCCCUGCCCUUUGUACACACCGCCCGUCGCUACUACCGAUUGAAUG
RNAcentral lists this ribosomal RNA (1193 nucleotides) under Thalia democratica. RNAcentral's name for it is "SSU rRNA". It matches the Rfam family "Eukaryotic small subunit ribosomal RNA", at positions 475 to 1695 of the family's 1831-position model. The record is from RNAcentral. Lineage: Eukaryota; Metazoa; Chordata; Thaliacea; Salpida; Salpidae.